Molecule: ribosomal RNA, 254 nt
Filed under: uncultured bacterium
Lineage: Bacteria
Description: partial 16S ribosomal RNA
Rfam family: Bacterial small subunit ribosomal RNA
Source: RNAcentral
UACGUAGGGUGCAAGCGUUAAUCGGAAUUACUGGGCGUAAAGCGUGCGCAGGCGGUGAUGUAAGACAGGUGUGAAAUCCCCGGGCUUAACCUGGGAACUGCAUUUGUGACUGCAUCGCUGGAGUGCGGCAGAGGGGGAUGGAAUUCCACGUGUAGCAGUGAAAUGCGUAGAGAUGUGGAGGAACACCGAUGGCGAAGGCAGCCCCCUGGGUCAAGAUUGACGCUCAUGCACGAAAGCGUGGGGAGCAAACAGGA